This is a long non-coding RNA of Columba livia (rock pigeon), 644 nucleotides long. RefSeq lists it as uncharacterized. The record is from RefSeq and is a predicted model, not a curated record. NCBI's taxonomy places the organism in Eukaryota, Metazoa, Chordata, Aves, Columbiformes, Columbidae. The transcript has 4 exons.
CACGUGUUCACACCAGCUGCCUCCACCAACAGAGCCUGGGAAGCAGGGUGAGCACUGAGCACAGGGCAGUCAGUGCUGCAGCAGUUUCCUUCCAUGUACAGAAACCAGAGCUGCUAGGGCCGCAUAUUUUGAUGGAGGCCAGGAUGAGCUGUGCAUUUGACAUGUCCAGUGUGAAUCACUGCAGUUCACCAUCUGGCUCUGGGUGAAAUGGAUGGGGAAGCCUGGCACAGUCUGCGAGUGAGUUACAGGUGAUGGAUAUCCAGGCUGAGGACAAAGCAAAACUUCUGAAGAAACAGGAAAGGAGGUGGAGCUUUUUCACUGUCAGGAAACAUUGCAAAAUCUUUCUCAGGAAAAAAAAAAGUGGUGAAGAUGUGUGUUAGAAGAACAGUCAACCUUCCCAACAUGAAAGCUUCUCCUGUUUGUUUGAUGUCUCAGUUCCUUGGACUUUCUCAGAUGAAAUAAAAGAGGUUCUCAUUAUCAUGUUGAGGUGUCACCUCUGAGAAAAAGACUCUUGGGCUUUAUGAAAAAUGCUGUCUAAACAGAGGGAAUGGCCCAUGAAAGUACCCCAGGGCCUGAUCUAGGGUGAUGCCCAGAGAUGCACAGGAAGAGUUAGGAAUCUGGGAGAGGGACCUGAGUGAUUUUUC